Molecule: ribosomal RNA, 158 nt
Filed under: Polyblastidium hypoleucum
Lineage: Eukaryota; Fungi; Ascomycota; Lecanoromycetes; Caliciales; Physciaceae
Description: Heterodermia hypoleuca 5.8S ribosomal RNA
Rfam family: 5.8S ribosomal RNA
About the family: 5.8S ribosomal RNA (5.8S rRNA) is a component of the large subunit of the eukaryotic ribosome. It is transcribed by RNA polymerase I as part of the 45S precursor that also contains 18S and 28S rRNA.
Source: RNAcentral
AAAACUUUCAACAACGGAUCUCUUGGUUCUGGCAUCAAUGAAAAACGCAACGAAAUGCUAUAAGUAAUGUGAAUUGCAUAAUUCCGUGAAUCAUCAAAUCUUUGAACGCACAUUGCGCCCUUUGGUAAUCAUAAGGGCAUGCCUGUUCGAGCGUCAUU